GAGUUUGAUCCUGGCUCAGAUUGAACGCUGGCGGAUGCUUUACACAUGCAAGUCGGACGGCAGCAUAAAAGAGCUUGCUCUUUUGAUGGCGAGUGGCGAACGGGUGAGUAAUGCAUCGGAACGUACCGAGUAGUGGGGGAUAACUGUCCGAAAGGAUGGCUAAUACCGCAUAUUCUCUGAGGAGGAAAGCAGGGGACCUUAGGGCCUUGCGCUAUUUGAGCGGCCGAUGUCUGAUUAGCUAGUUGGUGGGGUAAGAGCCCACCAAGGCGACGAUCAGUAGCGGGUCUGAGAGGAUGAUCCGCCACACUGGGACUGAGACACGGCCCAGACUCCUACGGGAGGCAGCAGUGGGGAAUUUUGGACAAUGGGCGCAAGCCUGAUCCAGCCAUGCCGCGUGUAUGAAGAAGGCCUUCGGGUUGUAAAGUACUUUUGUCAGGGAAGAAAAGCCUGAGGAUAACACCCUCAGGUCAUGACGGUACCUGAAGAAUAAGCACCGGCUAACUACGUGCCAGCAGCCGCGGUAAUACGUAGGGUGCGAGCGUUAAUCGGAAUUACUGGGCGUAAAGCGAGCGCAGACGGUUAUUUAAGCAAGAUGUGAAAGCCCCGGGCUCAACCUGGGAACUGCGUUUUGAACUGGGUAACUAGAGUGU
This 650-nucleotide ribosomal RNA is filed under the name bacterium N40. RNAcentral's name for it is "bacterial SSU rRNA". It matches the Rfam family "Bacterial small subunit ribosomal RNA", at positions 9 to 649 of the family's 1533-position model. The record is from RNAcentral.